UUGCGAAACUCCGCCCGGUUCUGCCGGGCGCGGUCAUCGGGACGUGGUGAUCCCGAUCUGAUGAGCAGCCACCA
This 74-nucleotide non-coding RNA is filed under the name Roseobacter sp. SK209-2-6. The record is from RNAcentral. Lineage: Bacteria; Pseudomonadati; Pseudomonadota; Alphaproteobacteria; Rhodobacterales; Roseobacteraceae.